UACGUAGGUGGCAAACGUUGUCCGGAUUUACUGGGUGUAAAGGGCGUGUAGCCGGGCUGACAAGUCAGAUGUGAAAUUCCGGGGCUCAACCCCGGACCUGCAUUUGAAACUGUUGGUCUUGAGUAUCGGAGAGGCAGGCGGAAUUCCUAGUGUAGCGGUGAAAUGCGUAGAUAUUAGGAGGAACACCAGUGGCGAAGGCGGCCUGCUGGACGACAACUGACGGUGAGGCGCGAAAGCGUGGGGAGCAAACAGG
RNAcentral lists this ribosomal RNA (253 nucleotides) under uncultured bacterium. RNAcentral describes it as "partial 16S ribosomal RNA". It matches the Rfam family "Bacterial small subunit ribosomal RNA", at positions 524 to 776 of the family's 1533-position model. The record is from RNAcentral.